This 506-nucleotide ribosomal RNA is filed under the name uncultured bacterium. Its description in RNAcentral is "partial 16S ribosomal RNA". It matches the Rfam family "Bacterial small subunit ribosomal RNA", at positions 30 to 523 of the family's 1533-position model. The record is from RNAcentral.
AUUGAACGCUGGCGGCAGGCCUAACACAUGCAAGUCGAACGGUAACAGGAAACAGCUUGCUGUUUCGCUGACGAGUGGCGGACGGGUGAGUAAUGUUUGGGAAACUGCCUGAUGGAGGGGGAUAACUACUGGAAACGGUAGCUAAUACCGCAUAACGUCGCAAGACCAAAGAGGGGGACCUUCGGGCCUCUUGCCAUCGGAUGGGCCCAGAUGGGAUUAGCUAGUAGGAGGGGUAACGGCUCACCUAGGCGACGAUCCCUAGCUGGUCUGAGAGGAUGACCAGCCACACUGGAACUGAGACACGGUCCAGACUCCUACGGGAGGCAGCAGUGGGGAAUAUUGCACAAUGGGCGCAAGCCUGAUGCAGCCAUGCCGCGUGUAUGAAGAAGGCCUUCGGGUUGUAAAGUACUUUCAGCGGGGAGGAAGGGAGUAAAGUUAAUACCUUUGCUCAUUGACGUUACCCGCAGAAGAAGCACCGGCUAACUCCGUGCCAGCAGCCGCAGUAA